Molecule: long non-coding RNA, 302 nt
Filed under: Medicago truncatula (barrel medic)
Lineage: Eukaryota; Viridiplantae; Streptophyta; Magnoliopsida; Fabales; Fabaceae
Description: long non-coding RNA (MTRU_LNC003180)
Source: RNAcentral
GGACAAUUAAAACUUUGCAACCACUUUUAAAUCUCUUCUUUUAUUUACUUUCAAAUAAAUUCCUAUAAUUACCGAGUUGAACGACAAUCCCUGUGGAGACGAUAACUUACUACUUUAUUACUGGAGUAUUCGAUACACUUGCUGAUUCAUACCAUUAGACAAUUGUGAGUGUUGGUCCAUAGAAGCUCGGUGUCGCAGACCCUGUUGGUUGUUCACCUUCGGUUUGUUUGCUCCUGCGCCACGGACCUUGGUUGCGGUUAUGGUGCAUAAGGAAGGAAAUCCUUAUGUACCCUACAUAAAUC